GGAGCUUCCAUGGGUAGAGAGCAGCUGUCUCCCUGCCGCAAAUGUCUGCCUUCCAAUGUGUUGAGGGUAGCAGGGCAGUGUGACAGAGAUGUGAGCAAGUAGGUGGGGUCAGUAAGUGUAUCCCCACUCUCCAUUUUAGAAGGGCAAUAAGGGCAAUUUGUUGUUGUUUAGUCGUUUAUUCGUGUCCGACUCUUUGUGACCCCAUGGACCAGAGCACGCCAGGCACUCCUGUCUUCCACUGCCUCCCGCAGUUUCAUCAAACUCAUGUUGGUAGCUUUGAGAACACUGUCCAACCAUCUGGUCCUCUGUCGUCCCCUUCUCCUUGUCCCCUUCUUUCACAACAUCAGGGUCUUUUCCAGAGAGUCUUCUGUUCUCAUGAGGUGGCCAAAGUAUUGGAGCCUCAGCUUCAUGAUCUGUCCUUCCAGUGAGCACUCAGGGCUGAUUUCCUUCAGAAUGGAUAGGUUUGAUCUUCUUGCAGUCCAUGGGACUCUCAAGAGUCUCCUCCAGCACCAUAAUUCAAAAGCAUCAAUUCUUUGGCGAUCAGCCUUCUUUAUGGUCCAGUUUUCACUUCCAUACAUCACUACUGGGAAAACCAUAGCUUUAACUAGAGGACCUUUGUUGGCAAGGUGAUGUCUCUGCUUUUUAAGAUGCUGUCUAGGGCCAUAGCUCAAUUAAAAAAAAAAAAAAGUAUCUGUGUUUCAUGCAGAAAGCCCCAGCAUCAGUCCCUAGCAUCUCCAGAUAGAACUGGGAGAGAACUAUGUCUGAAAUCUUGGAGAGUCACUGCCAGAAGGUGUAAGACAAUACUGCGAUGGAUGGGCCAACAGCCUCACUUGGUAUAAGGCUGCUCCUAAUGUCUGAACAGAGCUUUUGUUGAGCAGUUUCCUGUCUGCCUUCUUGCAGUCUAACAAUGAAUCACUUUCACCUUGCUGGAAAAGUUCCAGCGGCUUUGUUUAACCAUGGCUCUAUGCUUAAGACUCACUUUUAGUUCUUCCGCGGCUCUGACGCAAUUAUCCAUGCAGUAGUAGGAAGAUUUAAGACAGUUUCCUGGAAUGACCUAUAGAUAACCCAACAGAGACAACUUCCACAGUGCACAGCUCAAAGAUCGCUCUUCCCUCCCUAUCCAGCCCACCAAAAAACCAGACCACCUCACACCCCAUAAUAUAUGACACCUUCUUUACUCUGCCUGCCUGGAGAGAUUUGUAAGCAUAAUUUGAUCUUCCCAUGAUGGUAUGAUGGCACACGUUGUUGAUCAUGAUGAAAUCUCAGGUUCCUUUUCUUGUCAUAAAUGUAACCUAUUCCCACCAUGCCAUCAUGGGGAUAUUAAAUUAUGCGUACACAUCUCUGUAGCCAGCCAAGGUUAAGAAUGAAUUGCAUAUCCUGUACGAUGGAGUUGCAAGGAGGUCUAGCUGUUUAGCUAGGGAAAGGGAGCAGGCAGAGUGAUCAUAACCUAUAUACUGCUGGAAUAUUUCUGUUCUUUUUCUUGGCUUAUAUUUAAGACACUUGCCUUUGUGUUUCAGCGCUAAGAGUAUGCCCAGUACUAAGAGCAGUGCUCUCUUUUUUCUAGAAAAAAAAAGGUGCAGGAACUCUCGCUUUUUCUGAGCUUUUCUUAGGGUGCCACCAAAGUUGCUGAGUUUUAUUUUAGGAUGCGCCGAAGUUGUCAAGCCACUGAAAACACAUACCUCCCUUAAGGAGAUUCUUUCCGAAGAGAAGAAGAAGAAGAAGAGUUUGGAUUUGAUAUCCUGCUUUAUCACUACCCGAAGGAGUCUCAAAGCGGCUAACUUUCUCCUUUCCCUUUCUUCCCCACAACAAACACUCUGUGAGGUGAGUGGGGCUGAGAGACUUCAAAGAAGCAUGACUAGCCCAAGGUCACCCAGCAGCUGCAUGUGGAGGAGCGGAGAUGCGAACCCAGUUCCCCAGAUUGCGAGUGCAGAAAAUGUGCAACACACCAACUCCUGCUCCAUCCAAAUUUCAGCACCCAGAAAACGCACUGCCUGCUGGAGCCCCCAGGAGAGGUGCCAGAACUAAGUUCCGAAGUGUUCUGGCUGGGGGAAAAGCCCUGACUAGGAGGCUAAGUGAACAUCUGCACUAUACAUUUAAAGCAAGAUCAUGCCACUUCAAACAGUCGCAAAGAAUCCUGGGAACCGUAGUUUGUUAAGGGUGCUGAGAGUUGCAUGGGAACUCCUGUUCCCCUCACAGAAAUCCCAUAGCCCUCUGGGAAAUACAGCUAUGUGAGGGGGAUAGUAAUUCCAAAUAAUUACUGCCGUUUUCUUUGGUCUGCUAUUGUUAUUACUGAAAUCUGUAGAACUGACUUUUCCAAUAAGGAGUAACAUAAAACACUAACAAGCAAAGUGCAUAAAUGCAUGCUGUCAAAUGUUAAGAUUUUAUCUCUGAUUCUUUCCCUUAGUUCGGAUUAGUCUCUUUGCCCUGCAGUACAUGAAAAACAAUCAGUGUUUGGGAAACGUAUUGAGCAUAUUCCUAACAUCUCUUUUGUCAUUGUAGCUAAAUACCUUGCAG
RNAcentral lists this long non-coding RNA (2514 nucleotides) under Podarcis lilfordi (Lilford's wall lizard). The record is from RNAcentral. Lineage: Eukaryota; Metazoa; Chordata; Lepidosauria; Squamata; Lacertidae.